RNAcentral lists this small nuclear RNA (150 nucleotides) under Cavia porcellus (domestic guinea pig). RNAcentral describes it as "U4 spliceosomal RNA". The stretch from base 1 to 74 matches the Rfam family "U4 spliceosomal RNA". The record is from Rfam by way of RNAcentral. Lineage: Eukaryota; Metazoa; Chordata; Mammalia; Rodentia; Caviidae.
AGUUUUGCACAGUGGCAGGGUCAUAACCAAUGAGGUUUAUCCGAGGUGUGAUUAUUGUUAAUUGAAUCUAAAAUGGAAUCAAUUGAAAGAAAGAAAAAUGUCUCCAGUUAAACUGAUACACAGUUUUAGAGAUGAUACUUGUGAAGUAUC